GAUUUAUUGGGCGUAAAGGGGGCGCAGGCGGUUUCUUAAGUCUGAUGUGAAAGCCCACGGCUUAACCGUGGAAGUGCAUUGGAAACUGGGAAACUUGAGUACAGAAGAGGAGAGUGGAACUCCAUGUGUAGCGGUGGAAUGCGUAGAUAUAUGGAAGAACACCAGUGGCGAAGGCGACUUUCUGGUCUGUCACUGACGCUGAGGCCCGAAAGCGUGGGUAGCA
This 223-nucleotide ribosomal RNA is filed under the name Aerococcus mictus. Its description in RNAcentral is "partial 16S ribosomal RNA". It matches the Rfam family "Bacterial small subunit ribosomal RNA", at positions 548 to 770 of the family's 1533-position model. The record is from RNAcentral. Lineage: Bacteria; Bacillati; Bacillota; Bacilli; Lactobacillales; Aerococcaceae.